RNAcentral lists this long non-coding RNA (1285 nucleotides) under Fragaria vesca (wild strawberry). RNAcentral describes it as "long non-coding RNA (FVES_LNC001949)". The record is from RNAcentral. Lineage: Eukaryota; Viridiplantae; Streptophyta; Magnoliopsida; Rosales; Rosaceae.
UAAAUUAUAAUCUUAACCAUUCAAAGUUGAAUUAAUCAAUACAGACAUAUCUGCAAAAGAUUAAUGCAAACAAGAGACACGAGAGACACGUGUUUUUUUUUUUUUUUCUACACCUACGUUCUUUUUCUUCCUUCCUCUUCUACACCUCCAAAGGUCCCUGCGGCUUCUCUGGCGAAGCUUCUUCUUCCUUCCUUUUCGACGCCGCCAAAGGUACCUACGGCUUCUUCGGCGAAGGGUCAUAUAGCCUCUGCAGCUUCUCCGGCACAGCGGAGAGCAUGGACGGGGCUCGCCGGAGCUUAGGGUUCGUUAGUUCGUUUUUCAUUAAUUUGUUAUUUAUAGUGGUAUGUAUGGUACGUCUUCUACUAGCUUUGUGUGGUGGGAUAUGACUCCUAAAGUUAUUGCUUCUAACCGUAAAGAAGACACUUGGGUCUUCAGUUUAGGGUUCAUUAGUUCAUUUUGGCUCAGUUCCUUUCCGUUGUAACUUCUCUAAAUUCUUUAACAAGUUUUUGUACGGAGAAAUACUUGUGUCCGGAUUAGCAUAUACGUGUGCGUCCGAACUCUCUUAUUUAUAUACUUUUGUUAAUGUAAAUUAUAAUCUUAACCAUUCAAAGUUGAAUUAAUCAAUAAAGAUCACAUAUGCAAAAGAUUAAUGCAAACAAGAGACACGUGUCUUUUUUUUUUUCACACCUGCGUUCUUCUUCUUCCUUCCUCUUCUACACCUCCGAAGAUCCCUGCGGCUUCUCCUGCGAAGCUUCUUCUUCCUUUCUCUGGCGAAGCUUCUUCUUCCUUCCUUUUCGACGCCGCCGAAGGUCCCUGCGGCUUCUCCGGCGAAGGGUCAUAUAGCCUCUGCGGCUUCUCCGGCACAGCGGAGAGCAUGGACGGGACCACCACCCUAAGCUUCUGCAAGCGGCCGGGGGGAUCGCCAUAGGUGAAAUAUGAGAGGGUUUUUGGUUUGCAUUGUCAUGGUGGUCGACGACAGCGUCGAAGAGGAAGAAGAAGCUUUGUUGAAGAAGAGGAAGGAAGAAGAACACAGGUGUGAAAAACAAAAAAAAACAAAAAAAGACACGUGUCGGAUUUCAAAUGGCUGAUUGCAUGAGACAACUAACACGAUCGUCGCAUGCAAGAAUUUUUCUACAAACAAAUAUAUCAAAGAAAUGAACAACUGAUUAUAAAAUUGCUAACUUUCAGCUGAACUGUACAGUACUACACUAGUCGUGGACCGAUGUGGGUUGCACUCGAUAAGUGCAUGACUGCUCAUUCUAGACAGUACCUCUUAUUAGCGACC